This 465-nucleotide ribosomal RNA is filed under the name uncultured bacterium. Its description in RNAcentral is "partial 16S ribosomal RNA". It matches the Rfam family "Bacterial small subunit ribosomal RNA", at positions 338 to 795 of the family's 1533-position model. The record is from RNAcentral.
CCUACGGGUGGCAGCAGUAGGGAAUCUUCCACAAUGGGCGAAAGCCUGAUGGAGCAACGCCGCGUGGGUGAAGAAGGUCUUCGGAUCGUAAAACCCUGUUGUUAGAGAAGAAAGUGCGUGAGAGUCACUGUUCACGUUUCGACGGUAUCUAACCAGAAAGCCACGGCUAACUACGUGCCAGCAGCCGCGGUAAUACGUAGGUGGCAAGCGUUAUCCGGCUUUAUUGGGAGUAAAGGGAACGCAGACGGUCUUUUAAGUCUGAUGUGAAAGCCUUCGGCUUAACCGGAGUAGUGCAUUGGAAACUGGGAGACUGGAGGGCAGAAGAGGAGAGUGGAACUCAAUGGGUAGCGGUGAAAUGCGUAGAUAUAUGGAAGAACACCAGUGGCGAAAGCGGCUCUAUGGUCUGUAACUGACGCUGAGGUUCGAAAGCGUGGGUAGCAAACAGGAUUAGAUACCCUAGUAGUC